Molecule: RNA transcript, 687 nt
Organism: Schistocerca nitens (vagrant locust)
Lineage: Eukaryota; Metazoa; Arthropoda; Insecta; Orthoptera; Acrididae
Exons: 4
Source: RefSeq, a predicted model, not a curated record
AGCAGAUGACUGUAGAGUUUAGUAGUUCGUGUCAUUCGUUUGUACGGUAUUGUGUUGCGUUUUCUGUGAUAUAUGUAAGUGAUUUGAUGGUGGAGACAGGAAAUCACGGAAAGACACAUAUUGAGUGUGUGGCUUAGGAGGGCAAUCAUGGACUGCAAGGGAACUAGUUGGGUGAAAAAAGAGAAGAAUGAAAUAUGUCCUGAACCAGAAUCCUUGUUUCUUGAAGAUCCGCUAAAGAUUGUAAUGCCUAGUCUCCAUAUAAAGCAAGACUUAGAACUGAAACAGGAGGAUGGCAUUGAGCGUGAUGAAUAUGCAGUUAAUCUCAUUCAAGAGGACAAAUAAACCAUACCACGUUUGAAGCUGCAAAAUAUGGUUAAAAUUAACUUGACCAGCCAGGCACUGAAAGCAGUAUACUCAUACAGUAAUUACAAAAUAAAGUUCGUGAAAGCCAGUGCUAGUAUUAAGUUCAUCAAAGAACAUCUAGCGUGUGACUUUCGUCCUAAUUAUGUCAAAGCGAAGAUCAAACAAGUCUGCUGCAGCCCAGAUUGCCAAGAGGAAAUGUGAGAUAAUGUAGAUGAAGUCUCAAGUAAAAUCUCAGUACAAAACGAAAGAAGAUAUUGUUAUAUGCUGUUUCAACACGUAUUUACAAUUAGCUAAUACACUACACCAUUAGAACUAAGAGCUGCU